RNAcentral lists this microRNA precursor (121 nucleotides) under Brugia malayi. RNAcentral's name for it is "microRNA bma-mir-9534 precursor". The record is from miRBase by way of RNAcentral. Lineage: Eukaryota; Metazoa; Nematoda; Chromadorea; Rhabditida; Onchocercidae.
AUUGGUAGUAAUACUUGUCAAGUGACAGUUAUCUGUUAUGUUAUUUUUUGGAGAAGUCGUCUGUUUAAGGGCGACAAUAUAAAUUAACAUUGGAAACAAUAACUGUCUUCAUGAUUUCUUA